This is an RNA transcript of Ipomoea nil (Japanese morning glory), 1293 nucleotides long. It is a transcript of the gene named early nodulin-93-like, with no coding region annotated. NCBI's taxonomy places the organism in Eukaryota, Viridiplantae, Streptophyta, Magnoliopsida, Solanales, Convolvulaceae. The record is from RefSeq and is a predicted model, not a curated record. The transcript has 6 exons.
AGCAAAGUUCCCUUUUUUCUCAAUUUCUUCUGUUCUCUAAUAAUAAAAAGUAGUUGUCUCCAUCUUGAUUCCAUUAUAUAUUUAAACUGCUUCUGUUUCAAUUAUUGCGCAUGUGUGUAUGUAUUUGAAUUGAUAGCUUAGACACAAAAUUGAGGUACUCGAGCACAGAUAAAAAAAUGGGAAUUUCCUCAAGAUUCCAAAUGGACAGGCCAUUCUUGAUUGCUCCUUAUGAGAAAGCAAAGAUCUGCAGGAGUCAAGAGUGUACCCAAGAGGGUGUUCGUGCUGGCGCCAAGGCUGCUGCAAUUGCAUGUGUUUCUAGUGCUGUUCCAACAUUGGUUGCUGUCCGAACAAUUCCUUGGGCGAAGGCAAACCUCAACUACACUGCUCAGUCUCUUAUUAUAUCUGCUGCCUGUAGGGGCGAGGUCUGCGAGGAAGUCGGAAGGAGUUGAGGAGACGCGCAUACUCUUAGUCUCGCACCCACCGCCCAAGCUGCUUAGAGUCCAAGCGUCACCGACUCGCCGGUUGCAUCUAUGCCAUAAUAACCACUAGGCCUUUUCAACGAUAAGAAUGGAGUCCAUAAAAUCUCAGAAGCAAACUUCAAAUCCACCAUUCACACUCAUAGAUGACAAACUGCAAUUUCACCGGCCCUAUUUGCAAAUCUGCUAUAGCAACCACCAGGCCUUCCGCCUUUGCUUAAUCACCUUCACCGGGCCUUCACCUAAUCGCCUAAUGCCCUAAUCUGCAAAGGGAUUGAAGGCACAUGUUUACUUGUCAGGCAAAAUAAAGAUUUUUGAUUAACUGAUUCACAAGUGCAAAUGCUUCACAGGCUUGAUGGUCUCAAGUUGGUGAUGACGAAAGAUGAUCUGGGCUGAAACCACAAGAAGACACAGGGGAGUUAGGGAGGAGCUUCAACUUCUGACAAACAACGAAGUCACACAUUAUCUCUUCAAGAAUCCUUUAUGGCUUACAAAUUGGCUACGGUCUACCUAAGGCUCAAGGAGUUCGGUCAUAUUAAUUGUUUGGUAAACUUGAAGUUGUUAUGAAUGAAGAGUUGGGUAAUCCAUCUUGUGGUGCCCCUCCAGAUGUAGGAAUGUUUAUUUCGUACUGGUUAACAAACUCUCUGUGUUGAUCUAUUGUCUUUCUUGCUUUCUUUUAUUUUGUCAUUUGCGCCAAACUUUGCACUACUCUACGAACUAGUUCUAGACAGGGUUCAGUGUUGAACGUUGUUGCGAAAGUUGAGUGAGUUACAACCCUCUUAUAAAUUUUAAUUGGUAUCAUAGCGUGUUCUAAGAA